UACAGAGGUCUCAAGCGUUGUUCGGAAUCACUGGGCGUAAAGCGCACGUAGGCGGACUCUUAAGUCGGUGGUGAAAUCCUGGAGCUCAACUCCAGAACUGCCUUCGAUACUGAGAGUCUCGAGUCCGGGAGAGGUGAGUGGAACUGCGAGUGUAGAGGUGAAAUUCGUAGAUAUUCGCAAGAACACCAGUGGCGAAGGCGGCUCACUGGCCCGGUACUGACGCUGAGGUGCGAAAGGCGUGGGGAGCAAACAGG
RNAcentral lists this ribosomal RNA (254 nucleotides) under uncultured bacterium. Its description in RNAcentral is "partial 16S ribosomal RNA". It matches the Rfam family "Bacterial small subunit ribosomal RNA", at positions 524 to 776 of the family's 1533-position model. The record is from RNAcentral.